CGCGCGAUCCGACAUUGUUUCAUGCUGGGGUUUUGCCCUUUCUCUCUCCCUGCCUUCUUAAUCCUUGUCCCCCGAUUUGUGCGCGUGUGCGCGAUCCGAUAUGGUGGAAUUGGUUCAUUUGUGAUGUGGCCGCGCUAGGGUUACUGUGGAAUUGGUUUGAUUUGGAAUGGCUGCGCUAGGGUUACUGUGGAAUUGGUUUGAUUUGGAAUGGCUGCGCUAGGGUUACUGUGGAAUUGGUUUGAUUUGGGAUGGCCGCGCUAGGGUUGGGUUCCAUACUUUAAUUUCAGAUCAGAUUUGCUCGCGCGAACCAAUUACUGUGUAACGGAUUAAUUUGGAACGACCGCCCUAGGGUUGGGAUUAAUUUGGGUUCAGAUCGGAAUUUGGUUUGGACAAGCAAUGUUUUAAUUUGGGAACCUGCCGAUGUGGCAGGUCAUGGCGGAUGGAUUCUAGGUUUGCACGCAUAACAAUGAUUUGAAUCUGACCAAACGCAUUCUAUUUCUAGGGUUUGCACAACGUUUUGAAUCUGACACAACGUAACAUUCUGCAGGCAUGGAUCGGGGCUACAUCCUCUGCGCGGAGUGCCGGAUGGACAACUACUACGACAUCCGUGUCGUCAACAACCAUGACGCGACCCACGGGCGCCUCCAGUCAGCCAGAGAUGAGGUGGACCGUCUGCGGCACCUGGAGAGCCUACGCAAGAUGGCUGCAAAAGACAGGAAGGCUGCUCAGAAGGCCAAGCGUCAGGCAAGCUCCUCCAACAAGUCCAACAAGGAGAAUAAAGGGGCCAAGAAGGGAUCCAAGGGGAAGGGGGACAAGAAGGGAUCCAAGGGGAAAAACUGAAACGGCGCAAGAAAUGAUUGGUAAUAUUUUAUGACUUGCACAUGUUACUCCCAACUAGUAGAUUGACUGUAAUAUACUAACACAUGGGUACAAAAAAUGCAGGAGGAGGACUACGAUGUAAAGACAAGGGCAUCACAACACCUUCACUACUCAGUUUUUAGUUCUUUUGUUCUGCAACUACCUUUUAUGUACAAGCAAAGAACUGUUUGGUGCACUUCGUUGUAGGGCUGUGUCCUCCGUUCUACAAAAUAGAUGGAUAAACAAUUGUUAGAAAAACUUUGAAGUUUGUGAAUUCUGGAGGCUGCUGCGCCUGACAAAUUUGUCCAGAAUACCAAAUAUAAGCAAUGAACAACUGAUUAGGACAUAUUAUAUUGGAAGUUAUUCAAUUGUUCCA
This 1234-nucleotide long non-coding RNA is filed under the name Brachypodium distachyon (stiff brome). Its description in RNAcentral is "long non-coding RNA (BDIS_LNC001001)". Lineage: Eukaryota; Viridiplantae; Streptophyta; Magnoliopsida; Poales; Poaceae. The record is from RNAcentral.